UGAAAUCUGUUUUUAGGACACAGAGGGGAAAAAAACAAACAUAAUAUUCUUUCUUACUGUAACUGACACCUACAGAAAGAAAUCUAUUCAAGGUCUAUCUCUAGCCUCAAAUUCAUGGUGACUCCCUUCAAUCUUGGUAUCUUAAAAGUAAAUGCCAGAAUUCAAAUAAAAUGAAACUGUCAAUGUUCAGUUGAUAUUACUUGCUGGAAGACAAGAUCAAUACCACAAAAGUAAAUUAAGAGCCGCAGAGAAAGAAGCAAAAGAAAAAAACCCUUUUAAAAUAAGUGAGAUGCAUUAGAAGCUAGUACAGUUCCAAAUCAAAAAAUCUAAAUGCAAGAAGUUUUCCUCCUGCACUGCAGGUAAAAUAAUUUCCUUCACCCCCGCCAAUAUUCAGCACAGUAAUUGAUUUUGUGUGCUCAAGAGUUCCAUUAUGAUAUAAUAGGCCUGCAUCUGUUCUAUUACUAACAGAAGAAUUGAUCAGAAUACUUUUCUUGCAGGUAAUUGCAUAGGACUCAUGAGCUCAAACCUAUUCUGUAUUUCCAUAUGGAAAUGAAGUAACAUUAGGAGUAUAAAGCAACAAGAAUAUGAACAGGCAACAGAUCCUAAAAUGUUUACAAAAAUUUGUUCAAUGGGGAAAGGGCAAUCAGAGAGAAAGGCAUAUUCCUCUGAAGGAACUAAGUUAAAGGAUCCAAUCUUUCAAUAUGAAUGACAAUUAUACACUUCAUAAAUGGCAAACAUUCAAGAAACUUGAACACUUUCCCUCAGUGACACAGUACACUCCUGCAGGCCUUAUUCUGAUUGUGUUCUCAACUACAGUGUAUUAAGACUUACCAGCAGAAGCAGCAAGAACAUCUUUACAAAGCUUCAGCCAAAAUGAGAGCUUCUCAACUGCCAUUGAAUGCAACAGCAUAUUCUGAUACUUCAGCAGCUUCUCUUUGCACAAGCUGAUGUAAGCAAGCUACCACUGCACGUCUCAGUAAUUUUGAAUGAAAGUUCAUCUUUCUAUGGAUGGAGGGGGGAAGAUCACUCAUCUGACCACAGAUUCUUUGCCUCUCCUGCUUUUCUUACCUGAAUAAAGAAUGCAAUGGUGGAUAUCCACAUGUGUGGAUUUGCAUGCUACUUCCCCUUAAGACUUCAAAAUGCAAUGCAAAGGGGGACCAUCACACCUUGUUCUCCAAAUUGCAGACAUUUAAACUCAUGAAAAAUAACUAGCUAAGGGUCACCUUGCAAGUAAACAGCACAGUGAAGUGCAAAUUUCAGAUCCAGUAACUCAUUCUGCCUCCCUAAUGAGAUGCUGAUUUAGUGGGUGGAAGCUACAUGGAUGGGUGUCGAGUUUUAUAAAUGCAGAAUUCUGCUUGUGCAAUCAUCUUCUCACAGACCUGCAAUGCACACACUCAAAAAACUUUGUUUAUGACAUUCUUCAAAGACAUAGUGACGUUACUGAAUUGUCAGUGCCAACAAUAUUGGCCUUAGUUGUACAAGUUCAUGAGAAUGUGAAAAGGUCACCAAUGUGAGGCCACUGAUUUUGGUGGAAUGCUCUCCCAGGAAGCCUACAGGCAUUUCUGGGAUAGAGGGGAACACACUUAGAUGCAUGAACAGACAUACUCAAGCCUUCACCUCUACUUCUUAAUUGAAUAAUUUACUAUUAUGAAGUUCAUAAACUGCUGCAUGAAGUGCUUUGAGACAACUUGUAAAAACAAUAAAAAUCAGUAACAUUACAUAGACAAGACAACUUUGUCAUGACAUCCUCCUUAUUAGUAGGUAUUUGAUAUGAGUAGAGAGAUAGAAGCAGACUGUACAUGGACUUACAAAUGCUCCUAAAUGCUGAUACACUCUCCAAGCAAGAGACUGACUGACAUAGUUUGUUGUGAUUUUAUCAAUGUAUGAAAACCUAUGUUUUACCCAACAAAGAGAAAAUAAUUGCUAGUGUAUGUUAAAACAACACCAGAUUAGUUCCAGCACUUCCGCAACUAGCAGAUCCACAGUGUGGGGCAGAAAAACCUUCAGUUUUCCCUAGCUCCCACAAUCAUGUUUCUAGUCAAAGUAAAUAAACAAAACGUAAGGAAUCUAAACUGUAAACAAAAUUAAUGUAUGUUCAGUAUGGAUACACAAGUGCUACCCAGUGGAAGAUGUGAAUAAGAACUGUGUUGAAAUAGAUCAGAUUAAAACUUAACUGUCUAUGGAUUUUUGUUUCUCUAUGAUUGACAGUGUGACAAGAAGGUACUAAAAAAAAAAAAAAGC
Parus major (Great Tit) is the source of this 2241-nucleotide long non-coding RNA. RefSeq lists it as uncharacterized. The record is from RefSeq and is a predicted model, not a curated record. The transcript has 3 exons. Lineage: Eukaryota; Metazoa; Chordata; Aves; Passeriformes; Paridae.